RNA transcript from Marmota monax (woodchuck), 3069 nucleotides. It is a transcript of the gene named aminopeptidase O (putative), with no coding region annotated. The record is from RefSeq and is a predicted model, not a curated record. NCBI's taxonomy places the organism in Eukaryota, Metazoa, Chordata, Mammalia, Rodentia, Sciuridae. The transcript has 19 exons.
CAUUUUAUCAUCGUAUCUCCAUUCUGAGACUGAAAGUUGUGGAAGCAUAACUUGUGGCAUAGGUGUCUUUUGAGGAAGCAGCCAUUUAUGAUUCUGGAAGAUUAAGGCAAGAGAGGAAGCCCCAUCUGAGAUUUUAACCAACCUUUCAAACAGCAGACUACACCAUGGACACGAAGCUGGACCCUUCCAGAGAUGAUCUGCCUCUUAUGGCCAACACCAGCCACAUGCUUGUGAAGCACUAUGUGCUGGAUUUAGACGUGAACUUUGAAAGUCAGACCAUUGAGGGCACCAUAGUGCUUUUCUUUGAGGAUGGAAACCAAGUCAAGAAACAAACUAGUUCCACCGAGGAAACCUGCCAAUUGGAGUCAAGUGAAGCCUGCACAUUUAGGGCACCUGAGCCCUGCCAUAUUCCUGCAACAAAUGCAAGGACCGUAGCAUCUAAAUUGGGAUAUAAUGAUUUUGCAAUCUGUGAUAAAGGUGAAAAAGAUACUUUUGAUAAAGAUGGUAACCAUGACAACCAGGAACAGGCUUCUGGUAUCUCUAGCUCAGAGUACUGCUGUGACACAAGGAACCAUGGGAGAGAGGGUUUUUUGCUGGUGUUGGACUGUUGUGAUUUGUCUGUGUUAAAGGUCGAGGAGGUGGAUGUUGCUGCUGUGCCAGGUAUUGAAAAAUUUACAAGGUCUUCCAAGCUCUCAGUUAUUUCUGAGGAGCUCAGGAAUGAGGUUGUUGGUGAACUUGUGACUCUGCCUGCGGAUCGUUGGAGGGAGCAGCUGGAUUAUUAUGCUCGCUGUGGCCAGGCUCCUGGCUGUGGGGAACUGUUCUUUGACACUGAUACUUGGAGCUUACAGAUCAGGAAGCCAGGGGCUUUGACGGCUUCUGAUUUCCCUCAUGCCAUCAGGAUAUGGUACAAGACCAAACCCGAGGGGCGGUCAGUUGCUUGGACCUCAGACCAGAGUGGCAGGCCAUGUGUUUAUACUGUGGGAUCUCCCAUAAACAACAGGGCCCUUUUUCCGUGCCAGGAGCCACCCGUUGCCAUGUCAACAUGGCAGGCUACAGUUCGAGCAGCUGCAUCUUUUGUUGUUUUAAUGAGCGGGGAAAAUUCUGCCAAGCCAACACAGCUUCGGGAAGGGUGCUCAAGCUGGCAUUACUACGUAACCAUGCCAAUGCCCGCUGCCACCCUCACAAUUGCGGUGGGAUGCUGGACAGAAAUAAAGCUGGAGAAGGAUCUGGUGACAGAACGACCCUUCUCAUCUUCCGAGGCCAACUUCAGGUGUGCUGGUGUUUGUGGUCACGUGGAAUACCCCUGCCGCUUCCAGAAUGCCUCUGCCACUGCCCAGGAGGUCAUUCCUCACCGAGUCUUUGUCCCGAUGUGCCUCCGGGAUGUCUGCCAAGAGACCCUUCUGCCUCUGAUCCCUCCUUGCCUCUCAGCUGCACACUCUGUCCUGGGAACACACCCAUUCUCCCGGCUGGAUAUACUCAUUGUCCCUGCUAACUUUUCAAGUCUGGGGAUGGCCAGCCCACACAUCAUCUUCCUCUCUCAGAGCACCUUGACAGGCAUGAACCACCUCUGUGGAAUGCGUCUCUGCCAUGAAAUUGCUCACGCCUGGUUUGGCCUUGCCAUCGGGGCCCGGGACUGGACAGAGGAGUGGCUCAGCGAAGGCUUCGCCACUCACUUGGAAGAUGUGUUCUGGACCAAAGCACAGCAGCUGUCACCCCAUGAGGCCCAGGAGCAACAGGAGCUGAGAGCCUGCCUGCGCUGGCGUCGCCUCCAGGACGAGCUGCGGAACUCCCCGGAGGAGAUGCAGGUGUUGAGACCCAGUAAAGAGAAAACUGGCCAGGUGAGCGACUCGGGAGCAUCUGUGGUCAAACAUGGACUCAACCCUGAGAAGAUCUUCAUGCAGGUUCAUUAUCUAAAGGGCUACUUUCUUCUUCGGUUCCUUGCCAAAAGACUUGGAAAUGAAACCUAUUUUUCAUUUUUAAGAAAAUUUGUACACACGUUUCAUGGACAGUUGAUUCUCUCCCAGGAUUUCCUUCAAAUGCUGCUGGAGAGGAUCCCAGAAGAAAAAAGGCAGGAUCUAUCUGUUGAAAACAUCUUCCGAGACUGGCUUGAGAGUUCUGGAAUGCCAAAGCCUCUGCAGAGCGAGAGCCAGGCCGGGGCGGAGUGCGGGCUCGUGCGGCAGGUGAGCGCCGAGGUGACAAAAUGGAUUCGAGUGAACCGCAGACCCCGAAAACGGCGGCGAAGGGAGAAAAACGAGGUGUUUGAAAAGGUCCAAAGGCUGUGGCCUCCUGGGUGGAAUCUCAGUGUCUCUCCGGAAUCCCCACUCCUUCCGGACCAGCUGGUCUUGCUUCUAGAGCAUCUCUUGGAGCAGAAGACUUUGAAGCCCCAAACUCUGCAGAGCCUCCAGAGGACAUACCGCCUCCAGGAGCAGGAUGCAGAGGUCCGCCACCGGUGGUGCGAGCUCGUGGUGAAGCACAGGCAUGCCCAGGCGCACAGGCACGUGGAGAGGUUCCUUCUGGAGGACCAGGCCAUGGGCGUGUACCUGUACGGGGAGCUGAUGGUGAGCGAGGAUGCCCGACAGCAGCAGCUGGCCCGCAGGUGCUUCGAGCUGGCCAAGGUGCAGAUGGAUGGACCCUCAGCCGAUGUGGUAGCCCAGAUGCUGUUCUAAAGAGCCGCUGGUGGACAUGGCACGAGCUCCAGCCGAGGCACUGCUUCUCCGGGCUGUCAGUUGGACCCGCCCUCCGGUGCCUACUGAGCUGAUAUCAGUUCUCAUUUUACACACUGGCUCAGUUCAGCAGGAACAGGAGUCGAGCCCUUGAGCAAAAGCCUUCCCGUUUGAAAGAUCACAGGUUCUCUGACACGUCUCCUCCCAGCCCUGGUGGGACCAGGAUCGCCUUGACCCUGGACAUCAAAGGAGGGGCUGGGGGCUGCUAAAGCCGUCAGUCGACAACACCGUGCAUCUCGCCACACCCUCUGUCCAGAGCAGGGCUCUGCUGAGUCCAUGCAGCGGAGGGUCCUUUCGGACACAGUCCCCACCUUUGAGGUGUGGAGUCUGUGUGGCAGAGCUGGGC